This 2229-nucleotide unclassified non-coding RNA is filed under the name Leishmania donovani. RNAcentral's name for it is "gene:LdHU3.35.1610(CDS-product:pre-mRNA_splicing_ factor_ATP-dependent_RNA_helicase_putative)". The record is from RNAcentral. Lineage: Eukaryota; Euglenozoa; Kinetoplastea; Trypanosomatida; Trypanosomatidae.
AUGGAAAGAGAGUAGGUAUGGGAAAAUGGAGGCGAAGCCCAGCAGCCGUAAUCCUUUAACGGGAAAGGAAUACAGCUCCCGGUACUUUACUCUUUUGAAAGGGCGCGAGCGGCUCCCUAUUUUUGCAGCCAAGUCGCGUAUUCAAAAGCUGGUGAGCCAGUAUCAGACGCUGCUUCUUGUUGGAGAGACAGGCAGUGGAAAGACAACUCAGGUUCCUCAAUACAUUUUGGAGCUCAAUCCGGAGCACGGAAUUGCCUGCACGCAGCCGCGGCGUGUCGCGGCAACAAGCGUGAGUGAGCGCGUGGCUGAAGAGAUGGAUGUGGAGCUCGGCGAGGAGGUAGGCUACUCUAUUCGUUUCGAUGACAAGAGUUCCGAGAAAACACGACUGAAAUACCUGACAGAUGGUAUGCUUCUGCGCGAGGCGAUGACGGAUCCACUGUUGAGUUGCUACAGUGUCAUUGUUCUCGAUGAAGCUCACGAGCGCACUGUAUCGACAGACAUUUUGAUCGGCACCUUGAAGGAGCUUCUUCCAAAAAGACCGGAUCUUCGCAUUGUAGUGAUGUCUGCAACCCUCGAAGAAAAGCGCUUUCAGGAGUAUUUUUCCGAGGCGCCGCUUGUCCAUAUUUCCGGCCGUAUGUAUGGUGUUGAGGUGUACAACUCAAAGGCACCUGAAGCUAACUAUGUGGAAGCGGCCAUUCGCACAGCAACGCAGAUUCAUCUAUACGAAGGCGAGGGCGACAUCCUUAUUUUUUUGACUGGCGAAGAUGAAAUCGAAACGACUGUGGAACGCCUGCAAAACGGUAUCAGGAUGGCAGAGCACAGCAGCGCCAACUGCCACCACGGGCCCGUUGCAGUCUUGCCCUUGUACUCCUCCCUACCCCCGUCGCAGCAGCGAAAGGUGUUUCAGACAGUUCCGGAGGGAACGCGCAAGAUAGUUGUGGCGACAAACGUGGCCGAAACUUCAUUGACAAUCGAAGGCGUUGUUUUUGUGAUUGACUGCGGCUUUUCGAAGCAAAAAGUUUUCAAUCCGAAGCUUCGAGUGGAAUCGCUGCUUGUAACGCCAAUCAGCCAAGCGAGUGCUCGGCAGCGCUGCGGUCGUGCUGGGCGUACGAGGCCAGGAAAAUGCUUUCGACUCUAUACGGCAAAAUCUUUUCACUCUGCUCUGCAGCCCAACACGUACCCUGAAAUUCUUCGUUGCAACCUCGGCAGUAUUGUUUUGCAUAUGAAAAAAAUGGGUAUUGAGGAUUUGGUGAACUUCGACUUUGUGGAGCCGCCGGCGCCUGAGACGCUGAUGCGCGCGUUGGAGUUGCUCAAUUACCUCGGCGCAUUGGAUGACGACGGCAAUCUGACAGAGGAGGGGAAUUUGAUGUCAGAGUUUCCGGUCGAUCCGGAAAUGGCAUCAAUGCUUUUUCACAGCCCUAAGUUUGGAUCUUCUGAGGAUAUUGCACGAAUUUGUGCUAUGCUGUCGGUGCAAAAUCCAUUCAUCACUCCCUCAAAUGAUCAGCGAGGCCGUGCAAUGCGGUGCCGCGAACAGUUCUACCAUCCAACAGGGGACCACAUUUCGUACCUGAACAUCUUUAAUGUGUUCUACGAGAUGAAGAACCAGAGCUCCUCUUGGUGCACAGAGAACUACAUCAAUCCUCGGGUUAUGAAGCAGGCGGUCAACAUUUACCGCCAACUUGUCGGAAUCUUGCGACGUCUGAGUUUGCCUAUUUGCAGCACGUACACAGCGCAGCAGCGGCGCGUGCAGGGUGAUGACGCUCCAGCGGAGUUGGAAUUCGCAAACGAGGUGCGUCGCGCCAUAGUGAAAGGGUACUUCACAAAGGUGGCGCUCUCUCUUCCGACAAAGCACCAGUUUAUGACGCUUAAAGACGAUGUUAAGUGCCUUCUUUUUCCAUCGACAUACCUGAACCGCCGCCCCAAAUUUGUGGUAUUUAACGAGCUAGUCCUCACGAGCAACACGUAUAUUAGAACGGUAACAGCUGUCUCCGAAGACUGGCUGCUCGAGUCGAGCCCUUCGUACUUCGCCCAGGAUGAGUUUGAAGGCAUUACGAAGCAAGUUUUUGAUGAGAUUUUCCGAAGGCAAGGCAAGGAGAAAGAGCGUCGUUCGAAACGAGCACGGACACCCAGUGAUGACUAGCCCCCUUCUCAAAACACAUACAAAUUCGACUCAUAAGUCUGUAAUUGUUCUCACUAAAUUGCCUGUUGCUCUUAUGUCCGUAGCGUAAC